UUCCCGUCCAGUGGUUGGGACCUAAGGACCCCACGCUGAGGAAUUCAGCUCAUUACUGGGGCCUGGUGUAAUUACUGCCAGCUAAUGUUCAGCCCGUUAGGCAUUCCUGGCCUCCCUGAUUGCCCCGCUCCUGCCCUUCCAACUGUGGGAGGGCUGUGCGCCUCAGAACACAAGAAUUAACAGUUAGCAUUUCUCCAACUGCGACUUGCCUAGGGGUGCCCCCGCGGGGGGCUCGGCCCCGCCAUGCCUUCUCACCUCAGCCUCUGCUCUCGGAAAUAACCGCACGCACACGCACUGUUAGGGCCUCUACCCACGUGGCACCUGCUUGUCUCCCUGCGAUCCAGGAUGUUCCUAUAACUUCCGUCCUACAGCGUGAAAUCGAGAGCCCCGGGUUCUAGUUCUAACUGUGUUUCAGACUGGCAAUACUCACCCUUGGCCAGAGAGGGCGUCUUUCCGAAGUUGCUGAGAAUAACGGCAUUGAGCGCUCAGCUCUAAAGAGGACAUGUAUAUCAACCCCGGAAAGGCUCAGGGAACAUCGAUCGUAGCAGAAUGGAAGUGUGCCAUGGAAUGCUGUCUUCUAGACAUCGCGUGGCCGAUGCUGUCAUGGACCCACUGCACUAUAGUUACCGGCCCGAGGUCAAGCCAGCGAGAUCAGUGAACAUAUCCCUGUACACAGAACCAACUGGACCCAAGAGAGUUACAACAUGAAAAGGAGGACACCUGAAAUUGGGUUCUCAUUGAGUGUGCUAGGUGCCAAGCUCUGGCUCAGCAGUGAGGGGAACACAGAGGCGACGAUGUCACGUGACAGUUCGUUUGCAACAAGGUCUCGCUCUGAAGUUCAGCCUGGCCUCCAAUACACUGCAUAGCUGAGGUUGGCCUUGAACUCUCUCCACCCUCCUCCUCCCCCCACCUCCCAAAGGCUGCCAUUACAGGUGUGCACAGCAGGACUUAGAUCGCGAAAUAAAUACGGCCCGUUCCAAACGGCCACUUUG
Non-coding RNA from Peromyscus maniculatus bairdii (prairie deer mouse), 992 nucleotides. The record is from RefSeq and is a predicted model, not a curated record. NCBI's taxonomy places the organism in Eukaryota, Metazoa, Chordata, Mammalia, Rodentia, Cricetidae.